UCAAAAACAUGUCCUUUUGAAAUUCAUAUAAGGUCUAACCUGCCCAAUGAUUAAUUUUGAAUGGCCGCGGUAUAUUAACUGUGCUAAGGUAGCAUAAUCAUUUGUCUUUUAAUUAAAGGCUAGAAUGAACGGUUGGACGAGGUAAAAGCUUUCUUUAAUUUAAUUUAUGAAUUUAAUUUUUCAGUCAAAAAGCUGAAAUAUAUUUGAGGGACGAGAAGACCCUAUAGAUCUUUAUAUUUUUAUUUAUUAUAUAUUUUAGAGUAUUAAUUAUUAUAAUAAAUUUAAGUAUUUGGUUGGGGCGACUAUAGAAUAUAAUAAACUUCUAUUUAUUAAUAUUCAUUAAUAAGUGUUUAAUUGAUCCAUUUUUAGUGAUUAAAAGAUUAAGUUACCUUAGGGAUAACAGCGUAAUUUUUUCGGAGAGUUCAUAUCGAUGAAGAAGUUUGCGACCUCGAUGUUGGAUUAAAAUAAGUUUUGGGUGCAGAAGCUCAAAUACUAGGUCUGUUCGACCUUUAAUUUUUUACAUGAUCUGAGU
RNAcentral lists this ribosomal RNA (532 nucleotides) under Bequaertidea sp. 00004539. RNAcentral describes it as "partial 16S ribosomal RNA". It matches the Rfam family "Bacterial large subunit ribosomal RNA", at positions 1807 to 2610 of the family's 2925-position model. The record is from RNAcentral. Lineage: Eukaryota; Metazoa; Arthropoda; Insecta; Hemiptera; Reduviidae.